Molecule: ribosomal RNA, 468 nt
Filed under: uncultured bacterium
Lineage: Bacteria
Description: partial 16S ribosomal RNA
Rfam family: Bacterial small subunit ribosomal RNA
Source: RNAcentral
GACGAACGCUGGCGGCGUGCUUAACACAUGCAAGUCGAACGGAAAGGCCCUGCUUUUGUGGGGUGCUCGAGUGGCGAACGGGUGAGUAACACGUGAGUAACCUGCCCUUGACUUUGGGAUAACUUCAGGAAACUGGGGCUAAUACCGGAUAGGAGCUCCUGCUGCAUGGGGGGGGUUGGACAGUUUCGGCGGUUGGGGAUGGACUCGCGGCUUAUCAGCUUGUUGGUGGGGUAGUGGCUUACCAAGGCUUUGACGGGUAGCCGGCCUGAGAGGGUGACCGGCCACAUUGGGACUGAGAUACGGCCCAGACUCCUACGGGAGGCAGCAGUGGGGAAUAUUGCACAAUGGGCGGAAGCCUGAUGCAGCAACGCCGCGUGCGGGAUGAAGGCCUUCGGGUUGUAAACCGCUUUCGCCUGUGACGAAGCGUGAGUGACGGUAAUGGGUAAAGAAGCACCGGCUAACUACGUG